CCCAACUAUCCCUAUUAAUCAUUACGAAGGUCCCUAAACCAACAAAAUAGAACCUCGUCCUAUUUCAUUAUUCCAUGCUAAUGUAUUCAAGCGUCAAAGCCCGCUUUAAACACUCUAAUUUUUUCAAGGUAAAGGUCCUGGUUCCCGCGGACACCAACCGAAUGGCAUCCACGCUCGCCAGAAGGUGAGACCCGCCGCGAAGCAGUGCUCGCCCAGAGGACGGACCACUCGGACGGGCCUAAAGUUCAACUACGAGCUUUUUAACUGCAACAACUUUAAUAUACGCUAUUGGAGCUGGAAUUACCGCGGCUGCUGGCACCAGACUUGCCCUCCAA
This 335-nucleotide unclassified non-coding RNA is filed under the name uncultured Paraglomeraceae. RNAcentral's name for it is "sequence contains 18S rRNA gene". The record is from RNAcentral. Lineage: Eukaryota; Fungi; Glomeromycota; Glomeromycetes; Paraglomerales.